AAAUUGCGGAAGCAUGUAUGGAGGAUGUGUUGGAAUAUUAUAGCUUAUGGAAAAAAUUUCAAGCCUGUCAGGUUGUUCUCUUGAAUCAGGUGACUACUAAAUAUUCAGACGGUUCAUUUCAUUUAACCCUCGCACUAGCAUCAGCACCUUAUUCUGUGACAGGAAAAGGGAUCCAAGAUUCUGCUUCAAACUAUAAAAGAAUCAAAAUGAUGUAAGUUUCUAGUUAGAUUGAGCAUUGCCCUAAUUUGCUCCCUAAUUCUCAAGCUUUUUGAAAUCAUUGAGAUUAUACAAAAAAAAUUGUAUGAGGUUUUGGGUUUUGUAUUUGUUGGUUCUUAGCCGGUGCAUUUUUGAGAAACAAUCUCUGUGUUCCUAGUGAUCUAUGGAGUCAUGGACAAUCUUUUAUACAUUUUUAUUCGCAAUAGAUUGCAUAACAUGCCUUGUUAUCGAAAACAUAUUAUUGUAAUGCAUGACAUCAACUAACAAUGUAUAUAUAUCAUUUGGCAAUUGAUAAAAUGGAUAUUAUCAUUUGGCAAAUAAGAUUAGCUGUUCAUUUUUGUUCAGAAACUUGUUUUUGAACUCUCUUUUUCCUUAGACUCUGCUUGGUUGUGGAUUUGUAAAGGAAAAGAAAAGAAAAGGGAAGAUAGAAAUGAAGUGAGCUAAUUUUUUUCUCCUCUAGCUCAAAUAUGUCCUAUUCCCAUUUGGCUAGGUUAGUUGUUUGACAUAUCAU
Molecule: non-coding RNA, 727 nt
Organism: Camellia sinensis
Lineage: Eukaryota; Viridiplantae; Streptophyta; Magnoliopsida; Ericales; Theaceae
Source: RefSeq, a predicted model, not a curated record